GACGAACGCUGGCGGCGUGCUUAACACAUGCAAGUCGAACGGUGAAGCCCUUCGGGGUGGAUCAGUGGCGAACGGGUGAGUAACACGUGAGCAACCUGCCCCUGGCUCUGGGACAACCACUGGAAACGGUGGCUAAUACCGGAUACGACCCGCCUCGGCAUCGAGUGUGGGUGGAAAGUUUUUCGGCUGGGGAUGGGCUCGCGGCCUAUCAGCUUGUUGGUGAGGUGAAGGCUCACCAAGGCGACGACGGGUAGCCGGCCUGAGAGGGCGACCGGCCACACUGGGACUGAGACACGGCCCAGACUCCUACGGGAGGCAGCAGUGGGGAAUAUUGCACAAUGGGCGAAAGCCUGAUGCAGCGACGCCGCGUGAGGGAUGACGGCCUUCGGGUUGUAAACCCCUUUCAGCUCCUAAGAAGCGAAAGUGACGGUAGGAGCAGAAGAAGCACCGGCUAACUACGUG
RNAcentral lists this ribosomal RNA (462 nucleotides) under uncultured bacterium. RNAcentral's name for it is "partial 16S ribosomal RNA". It matches the Rfam family "Bacterial small subunit ribosomal RNA", at positions 28 to 507 of the family's 1533-position model. The record is from RNAcentral.